UACGUAGGGACCGAGCGUUGUCCGGAAUCAUUGGGCGUAAAGAGCGUGUAGGCGGCCACUUAAGUCCUGCGUGAAAUCUUGCGGCUCAACCGCAAGCGGUCGUGGGAAACUGGGUGGCUAGAGUGCGGAAGAGGCGAGUGGAAUUCCUGGUGUAGCGGUGAAAUGCGCAGAUAUCAGGAGGAACACCAAUGGCGAAGGCAGCUCGCUGGGACGGUACUGACGCUGAGACGCGAAAGCGUGGGGAGCAAAUAGG
This 253-nucleotide ribosomal RNA is filed under the name uncultured bacterium. RNAcentral describes it as "partial 16S ribosomal RNA". It matches the Rfam family "Bacterial small subunit ribosomal RNA", at positions 524 to 776 of the family's 1533-position model. The record is from RNAcentral.